Molecule: transfer RNA, 74 nt
Filed under: Lactonifactor longoviformis
Lineage: Bacteria; Bacillati; Bacillota; Clostridia; Eubacteriales; Clostridiaceae
Also listed under: 15 other names
Description: tRNA-Met
Rfam family: tRNA
About the family: Transfer RNA (tRNA) molecules are approximately 80 nucleotides in length. Their secondary structure includes four short double-helical elements and three loops (D, anti-codon, and T loops).
Source: RNAcentral
GGCGAGAUAGCUCAGUUGGCUAGAGCAUGCGGUUCAUACCCGCAGUGUCGGGGGUUCAAAUCCCUUUCUCGCUA